Long non-coding RNA from Archocentrus centrarchus (flier cichlid), 355 nucleotides. RefSeq lists it as uncharacterized. The transcript has 3 exons. NCBI's taxonomy places the organism in Eukaryota, Metazoa, Chordata, Actinopteri, Cichliformes, Cichlidae. The record is from RefSeq and is a predicted model, not a curated record.
UUUUUUUUUUUUUUUUUAACAGAUGCACCCAUCUGUUAUUUGCAAAGGAGGCAGGCUGGAGAGUGUAACCUCACAUCCUCUGAGCAUGGAUGUCAAUUAUGUCCCAGAUUCACAAUGAGGAGAGCAUAGGACUGCUACUCUUAUACCCAGAUGAAACACUGGAAUGGGUCCAGUGUCAUGUGUGCAAAGGCUGGCUGCAUACAGACUGUGCAUGGAUAAACCAGGAGCAUCUGAGAGAGGAGUUAACUGUGGACGCAGAGAUUCAAAUGAAAACACGAGGUCAUCAUCAAGUUCUUGGCAAUGCAAGGUCUGACCCGGCUACAGGCAGAGGUGGUGAUGGCCAGCAGGAGUCGGU